Molecule: ribosomal RNA, 478 nt
Filed under: uncultured bacterium
Lineage: Bacteria
Description: partial 16S ribosomal RNA
Rfam family: Bacterial small subunit ribosomal RNA
Source: RNAcentral
GAUGAACGCUGGCGGCGUGCUUAACACAUGCAAGUCGAACGGGAAAUAUUUCAUUGAGACUUCGGUGGAUUUGAUUUAUUUCUAGUGGCGGACGGGUGAGUAACGCGUGGGUAACCUGCCUUAUACAGGGGGAUAACAGUCAGAAAUGGCUGCUAAUACCGCAUAAGCGCACAGAGCUGCAUGGCUCAGUGUGAAAAACUCCGGUGGUAUAAGAUGGACCCGCGUUGGAUUAGCUAGUUGGUGGGGUAACGGCCCACCAAGGCGACGAUCCAUGGCCGGCCGGAGAGGGUGAACGGCCACAUUGGGACUGAGACACGGCCCAGACUACUACGGGAGGCAGCGGUAGGGAAUGUUGCAAAAUGGGGGAAACCCUGAUGCAGCGACGCCGCGUGAAGGAAGAAGUAUCUCGGUAUGUAAAAUUCUAUCAGCAGGGAAGAUAGUGACGGUACCUGACUAAGAAGCCCCGGCUAACUACGUG